AUGUGCUGCUUCUAAUUGUCCACUUAGGACACUUAUUGACUAUUUGACCUCAAAUCAGGUAGGACUACCCGCUGAACUUAAACAUAUCAAUAAACGGAGGGG
RNAcentral lists this ribosomal RNA (102 nucleotides) under Gymnopilus penetrans. RNAcentral describes it as "partial 28S ribosomal RNA". Lineage: Eukaryota; Fungi; Basidiomycota; Agaricomycetes; Agaricales; Galerinaceae. The record is from RNAcentral.